Molecule: long non-coding RNA, 5887 nt
Organism: Oryctolagus cuniculus (rabbit)
Lineage: Eukaryota; Metazoa; Chordata; Mammalia; Lagomorpha; Leporidae
Source: Ensembl
UCCCCAGCAGCAGAGAUGCAUCUGCCCACUGCGGGCGCUUUUCUUGCGGGGUGGCCCAGCCGUGCCCAGCCCGGGGCGAGGAUCCCCGCGGCGCCUCCGUGCCCCCCCCCCCCCGGCUGCCCUAGGUGCUUGUCCGUGCUGUGGUCUCAGGCGCCCUUGCUCUGAUCCUGCGCUCCACAAGGGCCGGGCCCACGCCUGCUUUGUGCACCCAGCCUGUAGUAGGUGCUCGCGGAACCCGGCUCCGGCUUUCUCCCCCGAGCAGCUGUAGGAGGUGGGAUUAUGGGAUAUGGAACAGCAGAGCCUCAGCUGGAGGCGUUCCCAAGAUAACCCGGCACGGAGGACUGGCACCGGCCCCGUCUGCCAGGAGGAGCGGGCAGGGGGCCAUGUGCAGGCCCAGACGUGCCGCAGGGGGCGGCGAGGGAGAGAGCAGCCGGCCGUCCCGCCACAGGUUCCCUGCAGCCUGGCCGGCCCCCCAGGCUGCUGCGAGUCCAUCAGGGCGCGCGGGCGGCUGCCAUGCGCCACCCUCAGGCCCGACCGCCUCUAUAUGCCCCCCAGCCGCCUGCACCAGCCUUUCUCUUCCCUCCGGGCCCUGCCGUCGGGUUUGCCCGGGCUGGGCUGUGCCAAGUCCAGCUUCGUGGAGCCUCAGAGUCUCCCAGCUGCCAGACCCCAGGCCCUUCCUUGCCCCACGGACUCUGGCCACAUGGGGACUCUCAGAACAGAGUGGCCACCCCGCCGGCCCCAUGCCCGGCCCUGCUGGUCCCUGGGCCGCUGGCUGCUCCAGGCCCCUGAGCCUCCUGUUGCCCUGCUCAAAGCAGCGUCCCCACUCACGAUGUUUUCUCCCCCGCACUCGGCACCCCCUGACCAACUGCACAUCGACUGGUUUAUUUUCCUCCAACUAGAAUAUUCCACGCAGGCAGGACGUGGUCUCCCGGCUCCGCUGGGAUCCCAGGGCAGCAGCCACCGGGUGCAGGCAGGGAGCCCUGCACACCCCUCCUGUCUUUGCAAAGCAGAGAGACAGAGGCACAGAGAGAUCUUGCACCCUGGUUCCCUCCCCAAGUGUCCACUACAGGGCGGGGCCAUCUGAGUCUCUGUCGUGAGUGGCGGGGGGAAGCACUUGAGCCCUCACCACUCCCUCCCAGGUGUGCGCUCCCCCCAGGGUGUGCGCUAGCACCGUACAAAGAACAGCCAGGACUUCAACCAGGCACUGCAGCCUGGCGUGUGGUCGGCAAGGGCGAGUUCUUAGCCCCACUUCACAGAUGGACAGACUGAGGCCCCGGGAACUGAAGCCCGCAGUGGGAAGCUGGGGCCCGCAUCUCCCUGCCAGGUGGGAGCUGGGGCGGCCAGCGCGACAGGGACUAGCCCUCUGGGAGAGAAGGCACCGCUCGCCAGACGCCACUUUCGGAAAAGACGGAAGGGGAAGCAAACCGAGCAGGACGUCGGACACCGGGGGCUGGCCCGGCCGGCUCCCAGGUCCCUCGCUGGGCCACAGCCACUGGGCGUGUGGGAUGCAGCGGCCGCAGCAGCCGCGGGCGCCGGGGGCCAGGACUUCGUUAGAAUGCAGCCGCGAGAUCACCGCCUGCUCUCGGAUGGCUGCGAGUGAUUGACACUUACAAAUUACCCAGCCGAAAGUGUCGAGUCUUUGACCCCUGAGUAACAUCUUUGGCAAGCCUGAGAUUUGCCGGCAUUUUGUCAUCUAAUUACUACAAAUCCCUUGAAAAUUCACUGGCUGGUGAAUGUUUAAUGCGCGCAAUUUCCAUGUGACGCCGGCCCAGAUGGGUUCCCGCGGCUCUCACCUCUCGCCCGCGCUCCCCUCUCCUCUCUCCUCUCUCCACUCUGCUUUUCCAGAGCAAACUUUGCCGGCGCCUGGCGGCACGACAGCGCCGGGGCGGAGCCCUGCCAGGUGCACGGUCUUGGCCUUGGCCCUGAGCCCUUUCGCACCUGCUCACCCGGCCUCCCCCAGACAACCUGGGCGGGCUCCCUGCACCCUAAGCACCUUGCUGCUCAGGUCUCCGGCUGCCCAGGCCCGGCCGGGCAGGGGAGCCACGGCCAACCCCCACGGGGCAGACCCCCGCUCUCUUCCACCCCUGCACUGGACACUGAACACCCAGGGCCUCCUCUGUCCCCAGACCCCGAGGGCAAAGCCGCACUCUCUGUGGCCAGGUGCCACGCGGACCGCAGGGGAAGCCAGGGCCUCCCAGCAGACAGGGGUCUGGACCCACCGCAGCAAAGCAAACCCCUAGCGAGAAGCGGCCCCCGAAGGGGAGAUGGCCCCCCUGCCCUGCGUGCUCUGUGAAUAUCUCCUGUUCUUUAUUUUCUUGAACUCGCCUAGGACUCGCGUCUGUCGGGUUCUUACGUCUAAACUCAGACCCGGCAAGCACCUGCGCGCGGCCGGCCGAUCUCCGGGCGACGCGUGUUCCCGGUGUUGACCCCGCCGGGGUCAGUCCCCUCCGCCCCCCCCCCCCCCGCGCCGGCCCCUAUUUAGGGAAGCGAGGAUCGGGUUUUCAGGCUCAAUUUCUGGUACAAAUUUUCACCGCGGAAAAAAUAUUCCACUUCACCCCUGGCCCCGUGGGACCCGCCGUCUUCCGGGACGAGGGCUUGUGCGACAGCCGCCGUGGCCCACUGCGUGUCGCCUGGAAACGCGGCGGUGGGGGGGCGGUCCUCGCUCCCGCGCCCUGGAUUCCCCGUCGCUCCUGUACCCGGGGCGGCCCGGCUUCCUCUGCGGCCCCCCCAGGGCCCGAUGGUCGCCUCCGUCCUGGGGCGGGGGUGGGGGAUGCCACCAAGGCCCGGCCCUGUGCCCCCCGGGGCUUCACGUGGGGCUGCCCUGGCCUGGGAGAAGCUGAGCGCGCCCCUCCUGCAGUGGGCAUUGGCGUCCCCAGCAGGUCGUUGUGGGGGGGGGGUGUGGCCCGGGGGUGGGGGGUUGGACCCAGACCCGCUGGAGGGCACUGUUCCCGCCACUCCCUCCUCGGGUGCAGCCUGUGCUCUGCACAUCUAGAAGAUUCCGGGGGCGAAUGGGGCACAGGGCAGUUUGCUCCACAGUCGUCCACAGCUGCCCGGAGUGGGGACACACGGCCAGUGAGGCUGGGCCACUGCAGAGCGCUCCCUCCAACCCCAGCUGCCUGAGGUUCCCCGCCCCCCGCCGCGAACCCUGAUGGGGUUCCAGGUUCCUGGCUUCAGCCUGGGUCAGCCCCUGCUGUUGCCGGCACUUUGGGAGUGAAGGUCGCCAGGGUGGAGCAGGGGCAACCACAGGGCCUUUGCACAGGCACUGAGGCUGGGCAUGGCGGUUUUCAGGCUGAGCCUGUUUCAGACACAGGCACACACGUGUGUCACGUGGGAAGCACAGCCAUGCGGUGGCCCCUUAGCACGGGCCAGCAACCCGGGGCCUCACUUCAAGGAAUGCAUUUUGGCUUAAAACCAAGACACUGUGCCAGUGGGGAGUUCUAUCUGUCCAGACGCCGGCUGUCCCGGCGGGAAUGAGGCAAAAAGGCGGCGGCAAAAUGUGGGACCAGCUUUCUGUCUCCUUUCUUCCAUGCCUCGGGCUCCUCUGCUCUCAUCGCGUUUUAUUUUGGAGGGAUGUGCACACAGUGUGUGUGUAGGUGCACAGGUGUGUGUGUGUGUGUGUGUGUGUGUGUGCCAGGGCUCCUCCGCAGCCAUUCCCUGCAUUGCCUGGAGUUUCAUGGCCACUCCCUGGGGACGGCUUCUAGACACUUUCCCCAGUGACUGCUCAGUGUGCCACAGUCAGUGCACCUGCUGGGCACUUGCUGGGAUGCCGGUGUGUGCCUGUGCACCUGCAUACAAGAGCCCCCACCCUCUGCCCCGGGCUGGGCCAGGCCAGAGGCAGGAGCUGGUGACUCAGUCCAGGUCUCCCUUGUGCCACCCCCGCUGUCCCCCCGCAUCUGCAGUAGCAGGAAGCUGGAGCCGGGACUCCUUUGUGGGGACCUUGCUGUCUGCUUCUCGCUCCCAUGUCUGACGCCUUUCAUUUGUCACCCACUUCUGCCACCAAACCCUUUUUUUUUUUUUGACAGGCAGAGUGGACAGUGAGAGAGAGACAGAGAGAGAGGUCUUCCUUUGCCAUUGGUUCACCCUCCAAUGGCCGCCGUGGCCGGCACACCAUGCUAAUCCGAUGGCAGGAGCCAGGUACUUAUCCUGGUCUCCCAUGGGGUGCAGGGCCCAAGCACUUGGGCCAUCCUCUACUGCACUCCCUGGCCACACCAGAGAGCUGGCCUGGAAGAGGGGCAACCGGGACAGAAUCCGGUACCCCAACCGGGACUAGAUCCCGGUGUGCCGGCGCCAAGUGAGCCAUGGCACCAGCCCAAACCCUUUUCAAUUCGAAUUUCUUUCCUGCCCUAGACCACACCCUGUGAAUGUUCUCAGACUGGGAGUCACCCUCAGGUCCCUCAGUCCCCAGACCUCUGCCCUCCCCAUGGGGAGCCUGGCCCAUCCUGGCCCUCUCACUGCCGCCUCUGGCCUGGAGCCCUGGGCUGGACCCCAGUUGUGCAGGAGAGUCCAGCACGUCCUCAGAUGGGCACCGCGUGCUCUCUCUUCUCAGAGGAAGUGGGAGGGAUUUUGCUGCCCUGCAGGGAGAGCUGUGUCCUGGCUGUGGGCCUCCGGCCUGCAAGGCCAGUCCCGUCCGUCUCGGCUUUGACGCUCUCCAUCUAUUCCCUGAAGAAAGGCCCCCCCGCUGUGAACCAGCCCAGUGCCAUCGGCCAAGAGUCCCCCUUUCCACCUGCUCCCCCGCCCCCCUUCCUCGUGGCCCCCCGGCGUCUUCCUCACUGCCCUCCCUCUGGGCCCCGGGUCUUUCAGCGUCACAAACUCACUCUGAUGGACAGAAGUCCCUGUCUGCCUCUUUCCUGAUCCCACUCGCGUCUCCAUUUGCUCGCUCUCUGCAGUUGGCACGAAGCUUCCGCCCAGUGCAGCGUGAUCACUUGAUGCCCCUGCCAACAGAAAACACGGUUCUAAGGAGCAGCCACUGCAGCUCCAGGAGCUGGUGAGAACGAGCGCCCCCUGGUGGCAAUGUUCAGCACCUCCAUGAGCUGCUGCAAUUCUGCUCCGCCCAGGCUUGCACAGCCUCCUUUGCAAGGUACACAAUCCCUAGCAGGCAGCUCCUGGAGGAACCCACUUGGGAGACUCCUAUCCCAGGGGCCAGCCGCAUACAGCAGUCCUAUAAAACUGUUUUUCCCACAUUAUCACAAGUGUACUGCGGACUUGGUGACCCUCAGGGGUGUUCGUGCACGGCUACUGCAUAGUCGGCCUGAUCCUGCCUCCACACCUUCCGCCAGCCACCUGUCCGUCUGGCCAGCACUUCUCCCAGGUGCUGCAUGGCCAGCCCCUCAGCACAGGUAGCACUGAGCACCUCCCGGGUCCGUCUGCACCACCAGGCAGGGAUCCAAAGAUCAGCGGUUCUCAAGCCCUGAGGGUCUCAGGACACUCACAUUCGUAAAAUGUUGAGAAUCCCAAAGAGCUUUUACGUCUGUAAAUUAUAUUGAUACUUAGUGUUUCAGAAAUUAACACGGAGACAUUUUAAAACAGUUCACUGGAGCCAGCGCUGUGGUGGAGCGGGUAAAGCCGCCGCCUGCAGUGCCGGCAUCCCAUAUGGAUAUGCCGGUUCGAGUCCCAACUAUUCCACUUCCGAUCCAGCUCUCUGCUGUGGCCUGGGAAAGCAGUAGAAGAUGGCCCGGGUCCUUGGGCCCCUGUACCCAGGUGGGAGACCUGGAAAAAGCUCCUGGCUCCUGGCUUCAGAUUUGCUCAGCUCUGGCCACUGCGGCCAUCUAGGGAGUGAACCAGUGGAUGGAAGACCUCUCUCUCUCUCUCUCUCUCUCUCUCUCUCUCUCUACCUCUCUAACUCUGCCUUUCAAAUAAAAUAAAUAAAUCUUAAAAAAAAAAUAAAAUG